GUGAGGAAUAUUGGUCAAUGGGCGCGAGCCUGAACCAGCCAAGUAGCGUGAGGGAUGACUGCCCUAUGGGUUGUAAACCUCUUUUGCAGGGGGGUAAAGUGGUUCACGUGUGGACCAUUGCAAGUACCCUGCGAAUAAGGAUCGGCUAACUCCGUGCCAGCAGCCGCGGUAAUACGGAGGAUCCGAGCGUUAUCCGGAUUUAUUGGGUUUAAAGGGAGCGUAGGCGGGGGUUUAAGUCAGCUGUGAAAUGCCGUGGCCCAACCAUGGAACUGCAGUUGAAACUGGACCUCUUGAGAGUACAUAAGGAAGGCGGAAUUCGUGGUGUAGCGGUGAAAUGCAUAGAUAUCACGAAGAACUCCGAUUGCGAAGGCAGCUUUCCGGGGUACAUCUGACGCUGAAGCUCGAAAGUGCGGGAAUCAAACAGGAUUAGAAACCCCAGUAGUCC
Molecule: ribosomal RNA, 445 nt
Filed under: uncultured bacterium
Lineage: Bacteria
Description: partial 16S ribosomal RNA
Rfam family: Bacterial small subunit ribosomal RNA
Source: RNAcentral